RNAcentral lists this ribosomal RNA (115 nucleotides) under uncultured bacterium. RNAcentral's name for it is "partial 16S ribosomal RNA". It matches the Rfam family "Bacterial small subunit ribosomal RNA", at positions 355 to 471 of the family's 1533-position model. The record is from RNAcentral.
AGGGGAAUAUUGGACAAUGGGCGCAAGCCUGAUCCAGCCAUGCCGCGUGAGUGAUGAAGGCCUUAGGGUUGUAAAGCUCUUUCACCUGGGAAGAUAAUGACGGUACAGCAGAGAG